AGUUGACGUGAAGCCACUUCGGUGGUGGAAAGUAGCGCACGGGUGAGUAACGCGUGGGAAUUUACACUUCAGUACGGAACAACAGUUGGAAACGACUGCUAAUACCGUAUAAUGACUCCGGUCCAAAGAUUUAUCGCUGAAGGAUAAGCCCGCGUCUGAUUAGCUAGUUGGUGAGGUAAAGGCUCACCAAGGCAACGAUCAGUAGCUGGUUUGAGAGGAUGACCAGCCACACUGGAACUGAGACACGGUCCAGACUCCUACGGGAGGCAGCAGUGAGGAAUAUUGGACAAUGGGCGAAAGCCUGAUCCAGCCAUGCCGCGUGAGUGAAGAAGGCCUUCGGGUUGUAAAGCUCUUUCAAUCGUGAAGAUAAUGACGGUAGCGAUAGAAGAAGCUCCGGCUAACUCAGUGCCAGCAGCCGCGGUAAUACUGGGGGAGCGAGCGUUGUUCGGAAUCACUGGGCGUAAAGCGUGCGCAGGCGGAUUGACAAGUCAGAAGUGAAAUCCCAGGGCUCAACCCUGGAACUGCUUUUGAAACUGUCUUUCUAGAGUAUGGUAGAGGUUGGGAGAAUUCCUAGUGUAGAGGUGAAAUUCGUAGAUAUUAGGAGGAAUACCAGUGGC
Molecule: ribosomal RNA, 617 nt
Filed under: uncultured bacterium
Lineage: Bacteria
Description: bacterial SSU rRNA
Rfam family: Bacterial small subunit ribosomal RNA
Source: RNAcentral